UUAUACGAUGAAGAGUUUGAUCCUGGCUCAGGAUGAACGCUAGCGGCAGGCCUAACACAUGCAAGUCGAGGGGUAGAGGGGUGCUUGCACCGAAAGACGAGUGGCGAACGGGUGCGUAACGCGUAUGCAAUCUGCCUUUUACUAGGGUAUAGCCCAGAGAAAUUUGGAUUAAUCCCCUA
This 179-nucleotide ribosomal RNA is filed under the name Aequorivita sp. Its description in RNAcentral is "partial 16S ribosomal RNA". It matches the Rfam family "Bacterial small subunit ribosomal RNA", at positions 1 to 173 of the family's 1533-position model. The record is from RNAcentral. Lineage: Bacteria; Pseudomonadati; Bacteroidota; Flavobacteriia; Flavobacteriales; Flavobacteriaceae.